UAUGCCCCCCUUCAAAGAAGAGGGGGUUUAUUGCUUUGCUCAUGUCGGUCUGUUGGUCGGUCCGUCCACCAGGUGGUUGUCAGACGAUAACUCAAGAACACUUGGGCCUAGGAUCAUGAAACUUCAUAGGUACAUUGAUCAUGACUCGCAGAUGACCCCUAUUGAUUUUGAGGUCACUAGGUCAAAGGUCAAGGUCACGGUGACCAGAAAUAGUAAAAUGGUUUUUGAAUGAUAACUCAAGAACGCAUACGCCUAGGAUCAUGAAACUUCAUGGGUAGAUUGAUCAUGACUUGCAGAUGACCCCUAUUGAUUUUGAGGUCACUAGGUCAAAGGUCAAGGUAACGGUGACCCGAAAUAGUAAAAUGGUUUCCGGAUGAUAACUCAAGAACGCAUACGCCUAGGAUCAUGAAACUUCAUGGGUAGAUUGAUCAUGACUCGCAGAUGACCCCUAUCAAUUUUGAGGUCACUAGGUCAAAGGUCAAGGUCACGGUGACCCGAAAUAGUAAAAUGGUUUCCGGAUGAUAACUCAAGAACGCAUACGCCUAGGAUCAUGAAACUUCAUAGGUAGA
Dreissena polymorpha is the source of this 569-nucleotide long non-coding RNA. RefSeq lists it as uncharacterized. NCBI's taxonomy places the organism in Eukaryota, Metazoa, Mollusca, Bivalvia, Myida, Dreissenidae. The transcript has 2 exons. The record is from RefSeq and is a predicted model, not a curated record.